This 377-nucleotide ribosomal RNA is filed under the name uncultured bacterium. RNAcentral's name for it is "bacterial SSU rRNA". It matches the Rfam family "Bacterial small subunit ribosomal RNA", at positions 790 to 1167 of the family's 1533-position model. The record is from RNAcentral.
GUAGUCCACGCCCUAAACGAUGUCGACUGGUUGUUGGGGGUUUGACACUCUCAGUAACGAAGCUAACGCGUGAAGUCGACCGCCUGGGGAGUACGGCCGCAAGGUUAAAACUCAAAGGAAUUGACGGGGACCCGCACAAGCGGAGGAUUAUGUGGAUUAAUUCGAUGCAACGCGAAAAACCUUACCUACCCUUGACAUGUCCGGAAGGCUGCUGAAAGGCGGCUGUGCCCGAAAGGGAACUGGAACACAGGUGCUGCAUGGCUGUCGUCAGCUCGUGUCGUGAGAUGUUGGGUUAAGUCCCGCAACGAGCGCAACCCUUGUCAUUAGUUGCUACAUUCAGUUGGGCACUCUAAUGAGACUGCCGGUGACAAACCGGA